AGGGCUGAAAAAACCCCGGCCCAAGGUAAAAAUACCACUUCUCAAGUGCCGGUGCAAAUAACAAGAGGCAGAGGGAGUGAAAAAAAUUACAUUCCCUAAGGCUCAUUGACAGUCUGGAAAUAGGUGGCAGGGAUUGAGGAAACCACACAAAGAGGUCAGAACUACUCACUGAAGCAAAUAGCGGGGUACCCUGUUUGUUUAAUAUAGAGAGGGAAAGAGAACUCCGCUUAAAUAACGUAAGCACACAACUCUACCUAGCAAGCUCUAACGCAAACCAUUACAAAAGAAAGGGAGCGCACAUUGCCUGAUCACACACACUGCGGAGUGACUUACCAUGCCACGCGAACGUGGGGAACUAAAGGGUGGCGGUUCUGCUCCUCUCCCUCUGACCCCCCUUUCCCCACGUCAGAACAACCAAAAGCCAAGGGAAGCUGAGUGCUGCUGAAGGAGCUAGAAGGGGCUGGCGUAGGAGAGCUUUCUGCAGAAGACGUGAAUCUAGCAGAGCGGCAGAGUGAGCGGGGAGCUGCACAGGUGCAAGCUCAGAGCAGUGGAGAAUCAUGCAACACGGGAGCGGGUUUUGGGGACGAGGAAGAUAGCUCACAGCAAGGAAGCAGAGAAACCGGUUUUCCCAACAGCCAAGAUAUGUUUCUCAUCCUGGACCUGGAGCCAGUAACCCCCAAACUCACCCAAGGUGUGCUCCUGGACCCCGAAGGUGGAGAAGGGACUUCUGCUACAAAUGUUUCUUCUUCGCAGAGGCUAGCAAAGAUUAGAAGGUGAAAAAUACGCACUCGGGAUGAAAUGUUCUCUGAGCUCCUGCUGUCCUCCCACACUGACAGAGCACAGUAGAAUGUAUGGAGGCAGACAAUGUCAGAGUGCAGGAAUGCACAAUAUGAACGCGAGGAGAGGUGGCGGGCUGAAGAUGAUAGGUGGUGUCAGCUGCUGACAGAAUGCAAGAGUUGAUGCUCAGGCUGGAAGAUCAAACUCAUAUGCUCCAGCGUAUGGUUGAGCUGCAGGAAAGGCAGCAGGAGCACAGACCACUGCUACAGCCCCUGUGUAACCAACAGCCCUCCUCCCC
Molecule: long non-coding RNA, 1075 nt
Organism: Mauremys mutica (yellowpond turtle)
Lineage: Eukaryota; Metazoa; Chordata; Testudines; Geoemydidae
Exons: 3
Source: RefSeq, a predicted model, not a curated record